CUUUGGGAAAUAGGCGAAGGCACCAGUGGUUAACCUAACCCUAAAGAUCCCAGCUCCUUCCUUCCUGCCCCGUCGGCGGAGCGCAUCGAAAGGAAAUGUGCUACGGGCUGGCGUGGCGAUCUCUUUCCCCUUUCUCCUUGUUUACCAGCUUCUUUUAUAUGGCUGCAUUCCUUCAAGGUGGGAGAAGCAGCCGAAGCCGGGAAAUUGACAAGAGAUCGUCGCGCCGGGCGGCUCGGAAGUUCUUGCGAGCAUCAACGGGGCUGUUGAAGCUGGAGGGCGGACUGCUGCCGGGAAGCGGCAAGGCAAAAGAGGACAGAUCCGUUGGCAUUUGCCCACCCCGGAUCCUGAAGAUUGGUGAAGUGAGCAGAAGGCGUCCCCCUUAAAGCUGAACUCCACCUUAUCCCAGCAUCACAUGAUGUGUGGUGCGGCACAUGUAGAUCCCAGCGCAUCACCUUUAAACUACACAUCUGGAGGAGAAUUCAACCGAGGCAGAAACCCAUGCAUUUCAAAUAAACGUUAAACUCUCAGGCAAUUAAAAAAAUGCAAAUUAAAAAAAAUGCAAAGUUA
Molecule: long non-coding RNA, 567 nt
Organism: Hemicordylus capensis (graceful crag lizard)
Lineage: Eukaryota; Metazoa; Chordata; Lepidosauria; Squamata; Cordylidae
Exons: 3
Source: RefSeq, a predicted model, not a curated record